RNAcentral lists this ribosomal RNA (439 nucleotides) under uncultured bacterium. RNAcentral's name for it is "partial 16S ribosomal RNA". It matches the Rfam family "Bacterial small subunit ribosomal RNA", at positions 339 to 795 of the family's 1533-position model. The record is from RNAcentral.
CUACGGGGUGCACCAGUGAGGAAUAUUGCACAAUGGGGGGAACCCUGAUGCAGCAACGCCGCGUGGAGGAUGACGCAUUUCGGUGUGUAAACUCCUUUUAUAUGUCAAGAAAAUGACGGUAGCAUAUGAAUAAGCACCGGCUAACUCCGUGCCAGCAGCCGCGGUAAUACGGAGGGUGCAAGCGUUACUCGGAAUCGCUGGGCGUAAAGGACGCGUAGGCGGGUUGGAAAGUCAGGUGUGAAAUCCUACAGCUUAACUGUAGAACCGCACUUGAAACUUCUAAUCUAGAGUAUGGGAGGGGGAGAUGGAAUUAGUGGUGGAGGGGUAAAAUCCGUAGAUAUCACUAGGAAUACCUAAAGCGAAGGCGAUCUCCUGGAACAUUACUGACGCUAAGGCGUGAAAGCGUGGGGAGCAAACAGGAUUAGAUACCCCCGUAGUC